UGGCAUAUAGCUCAGUUGGUAGAGCGUCCGGCCGUUAACCGGGUUGUCGCAGGUUCAAGCCCUGCUAUGCCAG
Molecule: transfer RNA, 73 nt
Filed under: Lactonifactor longoviformis
Lineage: Bacteria; Bacillati; Bacillota; Clostridia; Eubacteriales; Clostridiaceae
Also listed under: 1 other name
Description: tRNA-Asn
Rfam family: tRNA
About the family: Transfer RNA (tRNA) molecules are approximately 80 nucleotides in length. Their secondary structure includes four short double-helical elements and three loops (D, anti-codon, and T loops).
Source: RNAcentral